This 204-nucleotide long non-coding RNA is filed under the name Brassica napus (rape). Its description in RNAcentral is "long non-coding RNA (BNAP_LNC012328)". Lineage: Eukaryota; Viridiplantae; Streptophyta; Magnoliopsida; Brassicales; Brassicaceae. The record is from RNAcentral.
UCAUUGACAGAGAGACUCCUAGAGAAUGCAGGAAUCGCUGAUGGUGCUGCAUCCACAUGCAUUAAUGGAUUAUGAAGAUUAGAUCAUACAGAUUAACUUUAUAAGCUUGAUCUGUGAUGUGAUUUUUUUUGUGUGGAUAUAUGUAGAGUUACCGGGUGUUGAAUAAAUAUGUUGUCUCAAAACUAAGAUUGUUCGGCAUACAAG